UACGUAUGGAGCGAGCGUUGUCCGGAAUUAUUGGGCGUAAAGGGUACGCAGGCGGUUUAAUAAGUCGAAUGUUAAAGAUCGGGGCUCAACCCCGUAAAGCAUUGGAAACUGAUAAACUUGAGUAGUGGAGAGGAAAGUGGAAUUCCUAGUGUAGUGGUGAAAUACGUAGAUAUUAGGAGGAAUACCAGUAGCGAAGGCGACUUUCUGGACACAAACUGACGCUGAGGUACGAAAGCGUGGGGAGC
This 245-nucleotide ribosomal RNA is filed under the name uncultured Finegoldia sp. RNAcentral describes it as "partial 16S ribosomal RNA". It matches the Rfam family "Bacterial small subunit ribosomal RNA", at positions 524 to 769 of the family's 1533-position model. The record is from RNAcentral. Lineage: Bacteria; Bacillati; Bacillota; Tissierellia; Tissierellales; Peptoniphilaceae.